AAAGGUCAAGGGCCCACAAAGGAAGGUCAGGUCUUCCUUGUUCAGCAGUUGAUUUUAAUUUGCUUAAUGAAAACUUUAUCCACAGAGCAGAGAUUGGUGGAACCAAGCCUGUAACCUCAGGGGGAAUCUAAGUGCUAGGACUGAGGAGUGGGGACAGAAUUAAGAAGUGGAUUCCACAUGACAGGAUCCAAGAUCUAACCAGAUCAAGCUCUGGCUUCACCCCAUGGCAGGAUCCAGUCAGUGUUCUUCUAGGGCUCCUCAUUGACCAAAGCAAACUG
Long non-coding RNA from Homo sapiens (human), 278 nucleotides. Ensembl annotates it as long intergenic non-protein coding RNA 430. The record is from Ensembl. Lineage: Eukaryota; Metazoa; Chordata; Mammalia; Primates; Hominidae.